UACGUAGGGGGCAAGCGUUGUCCGGAUUUAUUGGGCGUAAAGAGCGUGUAGGCGGCUAGGUAGGUCCGUUGUGAAAACUCGAGGCUCAACCUCGAGACGCCGGUGGAAACCAUCUAGCUAGAGUCCGGAAGAGGAGAGUGGAAUUCCUGGUGUAGCGGUGAAAUGCGCAGAUAUCGGGAAGAACACCCGUGGCGAAGGCGGUUCUCUGGGACGGUACUGACGCUGAGACGCGAAAGCGUGGGGAGCGAACAGG
RNAcentral lists this ribosomal RNA (253 nucleotides) under uncultured bacterium. RNAcentral describes it as "partial 16S ribosomal RNA". It matches the Rfam family "Bacterial small subunit ribosomal RNA", at positions 524 to 776 of the family's 1533-position model. The record is from RNAcentral.